UGGGGAAUUUUGGACAAUGGGCGAAAGCCUGAUCCAGCAAUGCCGCGUGUGUGAAGAAGGCCUUCGGGUUGUAAAGCACUUUUGUCCGGAAAGAAAUCCUUGGCUCUAAUACAGUCGGGGGAUGACGGUACCGGAAGAAUAAGCACCGGCUAACUACGUGCCAGCAGCCGCGGUAAUACGUAGGGUGCAAGCGUUAAUCGGAAUUACUGGGCGUAAAGCGUGCGCAGGCGGUUUGCUAAGACCGAUGUGAAAUCCCCGGGCGUCAACCUGGGAACUGCAUUGGUGACUGGCAGGCUAGAGUAUGGCAGAGGGGGGUAGAAUUCCACGUGUAGCAGUGAAAUGCGUAGAGAUGUGGAGGAAUACCGAUGGCGAAGGCAGCCCCCUGGGCCAAUACUGACGCUCAUGCACGAAAAGCGUGGGGAGCAAACAGGAUUAGAUACCCUGGUAGUCCACGCCCUAAAACGAUGUCAACUAGUUGUUGGGGAUUCAUUUCCUUAGUAACGUAGCUAACGCGUGAAGUUGACCGCCUGGGGAGUACGGUCGCAAGAUUAAAACUUAAAUGAAUUGACGGGGUCAUAGCUGUUUCCU
RNAcentral lists this ribosomal RNA (588 nucleotides) under uncultured bacterium. RNAcentral describes it as "partial 16S ribosomal RNA". It matches the Rfam family "Bacterial small subunit ribosomal RNA", at positions 355 to 1375 of the family's 1533-position model. The record is from RNAcentral.